GUGAGGAAUAUUGGUCAAUGGCCGCAGGGCUGAACCAGCCAAGUCGCGUGAGGGAUGACGGUCCUAUGGAUUGUAAACCUCUUUUGUCAGGGAGCAAAGGGCGCCACGUGUGGCGCUUUGCGAGUACCUGAAGAAAAAGCAUCGGCUAACUCCGUGCCAGCAGCCGCGGUAAUACGGAGGAUGCGAGCGUUAUCCGGAUUUAUUGGGUUUAAAGGGUGCGCAGGCGGAAUGUCAAGUCAGCGGUAAAAUUUCGGGGCUCAACCCCGUCGUGCCGUUGAAACUGGCGUUCUUGAGUGAGCGAGAAGUAUGCGGAAUGCGUGGUGUAGCGGUGAAAUGCAUAGAUAUCACGCAGAACUCCGAUUGCGAAGGCAGCAUACCGGCGCUCAACUGACGCUCAUGCACGAAAGCGUGGGUAUCGAACAGG
RNAcentral lists this ribosomal RNA (424 nucleotides) under uncultured Muribaculaceae bacterium. Its description in RNAcentral is "bacterial SSU rRNA". It matches the Rfam family "Bacterial small subunit ribosomal RNA", at positions 354 to 776 of the family's 1533-position model. Lineage: Bacteria; Pseudomonadati; Bacteroidota; Bacteroidia; Bacteroidales; Muribaculaceae. The record is from RNAcentral.